Molecule: ribosomal RNA, 497 nt
Filed under: uncultured bacterium
Lineage: Bacteria
Description: partial 16S ribosomal RNA
Rfam family: Bacterial small subunit ribosomal RNA
Source: RNAcentral
GAUGAACGCUGGCGGCGUGCCUAAUACAUGCAAGUCGAGCGAACAGACGAGGAGCCUGCUCCUCUGACGUUAGCGGCGGACGGGUGAGUAACACGUGGAUAACCUACCUAUAAGACUGGGAUAACUUCGGGAAACCGGAGCUAAUACCGGAUAAUAUAUUGAACCGCAUGGUUCAAUAGUGAAAGACGGUUUUGCUGUCACUUAUAGAUGGAUCCGCGCCGCAUUAGCUAGUUGGUAAGGUAACGGCUUACCAAGGCAACGAUGCGUAGCCGACCUGAGUGGGUGAUCGGCCACACUGGAACUGAGACACGGUCCAGACUCCUACGGGAGGCAGCAGUAGGGAAUCUUCCGCAAUGGGCGAAAGCUUGACGGAGCAACGCCGCGUGAGUGAUGAAGGUCUUCGGAUCGUAAAACUCUGUUAUUAGGGAAGAACAAAUGUGUAAGUAACUAUGCACGUCUUGACGGUACCUAAUCAGAAAGCCACGGCUAACUACGUG